CAAAGGUUAAUUCCGGUGGCGGAUGGGCAUGCGUCGCAUUAGUUAGUUGGCGGUGUAACGGACCACCAAGACGACGAUGCGUAGGGGUUCUGAGAGGAAGGUCCCCCACACUGGUACUGAGACACGGACCAGACUCCUACGGGAGGCAGCAGUGAGGAAUAUUGGUCAAUGGGCGGGAGCCCGAACCAGCCAAGUCGCGUGAGGGAUGACGGCCCUAUGGGUUGUAAACCUCUUUUGCCGGGGAGCAAAGUGCCGCACGUGUGCGGUUUGGAGAGUACCCGGAGAAAAAGCAUCGGCUAACUCCGUGCCAGCAGCCGCGGUAAUACGGAGGAUGCGAGCGUUAUCCGGAUUUAUUGGGUUUAAAGGGUGCGUAGGCGGACGCUUAAGUCAGCGGUAAAAUUGCGGGGCUCAACCUCGUCGAGCCGUUGAAACUGGGUGCCUUGAGUGGGCGAGAAGUACGCGGAAUGCGUGGUGUAGCGGUGAAAUGCAUAGAUAUCACGCAGAACUCCGAUUGCGAAGGCAGCGUACCGGCGCCCAACUGACGCUGAAGCACGAAGGCGUGGGUAUCGAACAGGAUUAGAUACCCUGGUAGUCCACGCAGUAAACGAUGAAUGCUAGUUGUCCGGGGCGAUUGAGUUCUGG
Molecule: ribosomal RNA, 642 nt
Filed under: uncultured bacterium
Lineage: Bacteria
Description: bacterial SSU rRNA
Rfam family: Bacterial small subunit ribosomal RNA
Source: RNAcentral